Molecule: transfer RNA, 75 nt
Filed under: Amaricoccus sp.
Lineage: Bacteria; Pseudomonadati; Pseudomonadota; Alphaproteobacteria; Rhodobacterales; Paracoccaceae
Also listed under: 1 other name
Description: tRNA-Lys
Rfam family: tRNA
About the family: Transfer RNA (tRNA) molecules are approximately 80 nucleotides in length. Their secondary structure includes four short double-helical elements and three loops (D, anti-codon, and T loops).
Source: RNAcentral
GGGCCAGUAGCUCAGUGGUAGAGCAGCUGACUCUUAAUCAGUAGGUCCGGGGUUCGAAUCCCCGCUGGCCCACCA